GACGAACGCUGGCGGCGUGCCUAAUGCAUGCAAGUCGAGCGGGCUACGAUCUUCGGAUUGUAGCUUAGCGGCGAACGGGUGAGUAACACGUAGGUAAUCUACCCUUCAGAGGAGGACAACCUCAGGAAACUGAGGCUAAACCUUCAUACGUUCACUGGUAGGGAUACUGGUGAAGAAAGAGUUACCUUAAAGGUAGCUGCUGAAGGAUGAGCCUGCGGCCCAUCAGGUAGUUGGUGAGGUAACGGCUCACCAAGCCGAAGACGGGUAACCGGUCUGAGAGGAUGUCCGGUCACACUGGGACUGAGACACGGACCAAACUCCUACGGGAGGCAGCAGUGAGGAAUAUUGGUCAAUGGGCGAGAGCCUGAACCAGCCAAGUCGCGUGAAGGAAGAAGGAUCUAUGGUUCGUAAACUUCUUUUUAGGGAAUAAAGUGCGGUACGUGUACCGUUUGUAUGUACCUACGAAUAAGGAUCGGCUAACUCCGUGCCAGCAGCCGCGGUAAUAGUACUCUA
This 513-nucleotide ribosomal RNA is filed under the name uncultured bacterium. RNAcentral's name for it is "bacterial SSU rRNA". It matches the Rfam family "Bacterial small subunit ribosomal RNA", at positions 28 to 537 of the family's 1533-position model. The record is from RNAcentral.